ACCGUUUCUUGGCCUUUUGGGUAAGAUCAAGUGUAGUAUGUGUUCUUAUCAGUUUGUUAUCUGAUACGUCUUCUAUCCAAGGACAAUAUAUUAAAUGGAUUUUUGGAGCUAGGAGUCAGAAUAGGAGCUUGCUCCAUCUGCUCCAUGCAUUGACCUGGUAUUGCAGUACUUCCAGGAAUGGUGCAAGAAAG
Small nuclear RNA from Perognathus longimembris pacificus (Pacific pocket mouse), 191 nucleotides. RefSeq annotates it as U2 spliceosomal RNA. NCBI's taxonomy places the organism in Eukaryota, Metazoa, Chordata, Mammalia, Rodentia, Heteromyidae. The transcript has a single exon. The record is from RefSeq and is a predicted model, not a curated record.